UUCUCCCAUUGCAAGAAAAAUCAAUCUAGUUGGCCAAACCAAACCGAUAGUUCAAAGAGAAUUACAAAGAUAGCAAAUCAUGCAUAUACGAAUUCAAAGGAGAUUCAAAUAAUAUUCCUAGAUAAGCUGAUCAUAAAUCCACAAUUCAUCAGAUCUCGGCAAACACACCGCAAAAAAAAGUAUUCCAUCAAAUAGAUCUCCUAGAACAUCGAGGAGAACAUGGUAUUGAGAAUCAAAGAAAGAGAAGAAGCCAUCUGGUUAUUAGCUAUGGACCCAUAAGUCUGUAGUAAACUACUCAUGCUUCAUCGGAAGGGCAAUAGGGUUGAUGUAGAAGCCCUCCAUGAUCGAAUCCCCCUCCGACAGGACGUCAGAAAAGGCCCCUAGAUGGGAUCUCACGGGUACAGAAGGUUGCGGUGGUGGAAAAGCGUUUUCGUGGCUCUCCUGGUUGGUUUUGGGAUAUAUGAAAAUAUAUAGGCGAAAGAAAUAGGUCGGUGGAGUCACGAGGGGCCCACAAGGGUGGGGGGCGUGCCCUACCCCUUGGGCGCGCCUUCCGUCCUUGUGGCCGCCUUGUGGCUUCCCUGACUUGCACUCCAAGUCCCGUGGUCCAAGAAAAAUCAUCAUGAAAGUUUUAUUCUGUUUGGACUCCGUUUGGUAUUCCUUUUCUGUGAAACUCAAAAACAAGGAAAAAACAGGAACUUGCACUGGGCGCUAGGUUAAUAGGUUAGUCCCAAAAAUAAUAUAAAAUAGCAUAUUAGUGCAUGUAAAACAUCCAAAACAAAUAAUAUAAUAGCAUGGAACAAUAAAAAGUUAUAGAUAUGUUGGAGACGUAUCAAGCAUCACCAAGCUUAAUUCCUGCUCGUCCUCGAGUAGGUAAAUGAUAAAAAAUAGAAUUUUUGAUGUGGAAUGCUACCCAACAUAUUUAUCCAUGUAAUUUCUUUAUUGUAGCAUGAAUGUUCAGAUCCGUAUGAUUCAAAACAAAAGUUUAAUAUUGAUAUAAAAACAAUAAUAUUUCAAGCAUACUAACAAGGCAAUUAUGUCUUCUCAAAUAACAUGGCCAAAGAAAGCUUAUCCCUAUAAAAUCAUAUAGUCUGGCUAUGCUCCAUCUUCAUCACACAAAAUAUUUAAAUCAUGCACAACCCCGAUGACAAGCCAAGCAAUUGUUUCAUACUUUUGAUGUCCUCAAACUUUUUGAACUUUAACGCAAUACAUGAGCGUGAGCCAUGGACAUAGCACUGUAGGUGGAAUAGACGGUGGUUGUGGAGAAGACAAAAAAAGGAGAUAGUCUCACAUCAACUAGGCGUAUCAAUGGGCUAUGGAGAUGCCCAUCAAUAGAUAUCAAUGUGAGUGAGUAGGGAUUGCCAUGCAACAGAUGCACUAGAGCUGUAAGUGUAUGAAAGAUCAACAAAAGAAAACUAAGUGGGUGUGCAUCCAACUCGCCUGCUCACGAAGACCUAGUGCAUUUUGAGGAAGCCCAUCAUUGGAAUAUACAAGCCAAGUUCUAUAAUGAAAAAUUUCCACUAGUAUAUGAAAGUGACAAUAUAGGAGACUCUCUAUCAUGAAGAUCAUGGUGUUACUUUAAAGCACAAGUGUGGUAAAAGGAUAAUAGCAUUGCCCCUUCUCACUUUUCUCUCAUUUUUUGGCCUCUUUUUUUCGUCCGGAGUCUCAUCCCGACUUGUGGGGAAAUCAUAGUCUCCAUUAUCCUUUCCUCAUACUAGAUGACCAGUUGAGCCAAUGCCGCAAAGGCCAAGAGCAAGCCAUGUAUUGAAAGAGUUUACAUUAAUAUUAUUCGGGCACAUAUUGAAGUGAUAAACAUUAGACAGAGUCAUCGCUGCAUGUUUGACCAUGGCGCAAAAAGCGAGAGCAAGCCAGGCAUUCAAAGCAUGUGCAUGAGAUUGAUUUAGAAUCAACUUAAAGAUACUUAUAUUCCAUUACAUGAAAGUUUGAUGCUUAAAAGAAAAUAUUCAGAUCACUUGGUAAUAGAAUACAUUGGCUUUUAAAAGACAGGCUAUAUUAGCAUAGAUGGAUAGUGUAUAUAGUGCUUGCCCGUUAACCAUUGCUUGAGUCUUGUACCUACCGUUGGCAGGAAGGAAAGAACCUACGACCUAGGUGGACGAACAACCUAGCCGCACACUGCAAACAGGAUCAAAGGCCUAUAGAGGAACAAAAAGAAUCAAGCGACUGUGUAUAAAACAAUAAGCACGUGGUACACUUUAUUAAUUAUUUUUCUAGCUGUUUCUCCUUUAUCACCAAGCAGCACGUAUUAGUUGGGUAAGCAAUAACCAGGUGGUACACUUGAUAUUGGAACCCCCAUACAUUUAUUAUAUGUAUUCAUUCAAAGAACUAACCCGAGCAGGCAUUGCACGACUAUUAAGAAUCGGUAUGUAACUAAGAAAAGUGGGCAUCCUCUAUAAACAUGGAUAUUGACCAAUGGCAUAUGAGCACACAAUCACCCAGGAAGAAAACCACCAGGAGAAGCAUAAGGUAAAACAGAAAUUUAUGAUACACGGUCUGUAGAUAACAAUAUAUAUAGCUUCGAGUGCACUAUAUACCUGCAGACAUGACCAUGAGGACAGAUUCAAAGCCAAAUGGCAUGGAAAGGAGUCAAAUAUAUACCAUAGAAAAAACAAAACUGGGAAUGUCAAAAAGACGUAAAUAGAGUAUACAGAUACAACGGCACAGUAAGAUAAAUAACAAUGAUGUAAUAGUGGCUAUGAUUUCUUUCUGGUAAAACCAUCACAGAGAAAUAAAAUUCACAUGAAAAUAUUUGCUUCCUACAGGCUUACAAUGAUAGGUGUAACUACUUAAACUCACAAUUGGAUAAGAAGAAUGUAUGAUAAAGGCUGGAAGAUAUAAAAGGGCAACAAAUUUAAACAGAGCCUUUGUUUCCAUCAUUUUUUCACCUAGAGAAGUGAUGCAUUGCUACAUAAGAACGAAAAGCACAAUCUGAGAGGAAUCACAAAGCCAACCAGUACAUACAUCAUUUUAGAAGGACAUGAACAUAUUUUUCUUCAUUAGGACUUUUACAAUUUAUUAUUAGGAGGAAUUUGUUUCACGAGAUCCAUUUGGCAAGCACAAGUUGAUCAUAAUGCAACAGAGAACAUUCACCAUGUAAAAUCAAGAUUACCUGAGACUAUUGUGGACCAGCCAAACCAUUCAGUGCCUCUGCAAAAGAAAGGUAAGGAUUUGACAGAGCAGUUCCAACCUGUGAUCAAAUAAAUACCAUUAGUGCUAGAUAAACAGGUUAGUGCAUGUAGGGGAUAUCAACAGGAAACAAGUAAACAACCAAAGCAGACUAAGCUAGUAGGAUCACAAGCAACACACAAAUAAUUGAAGGCCAACCAGACAAAGCUGCUCCACUUCAAAAAGGCUACAACUUGCACCGCUACAAAUUAGGAGGCUUCAUAUGCUAUUCACCAUUACAACGAUGAUGCGUUGCACGGGCACCAGUGCCUUCACUGGCUCAGAUCUGGCACGUGCUUUACGUAGGCGAGGAGUGGUAGCGGUCCUGCUCCAUCAAUCAUCAGUGUCCCAUGAGUAAAACUGAAAGAAACAAAUGGCACAAACAGUGUUAUCACCUUGUGUCUCUAGCUCUUGUUCACCGACCCAAAGACCAGUUGCAUGAAAACAACAUAUACUGGCGCAACUGCAGCAAUACACUGAUCCAAAAAGGACAACCACAAUCUAUAAGCUACGGAGUUCACCAUCCAACCUAAACCUCAAAGGAGAAUUUCACUUCUAAUCUGGCCUAGCAACACAAUCAGUGGCCUCCCGUAUCCGACGGUGACAACAUGCAAGG
This 3796-nucleotide long non-coding RNA is filed under the name Triticum aestivum (bread wheat). Its description in RNAcentral is "long non-coding RNA (TAES_LNC018145)". Lineage: Eukaryota; Viridiplantae; Streptophyta; Magnoliopsida; Poales; Poaceae. The record is from RNAcentral.